RNAcentral lists this ribosomal RNA (238 nucleotides) under uncultured bacterium. Its description in RNAcentral is "partial 16S ribosomal RNA". It matches the Rfam family "Bacterial small subunit ribosomal RNA", at positions 96 to 334 of the family's 1533-position model. The record is from RNAcentral.
CGGCGGACGGGUGAGUAACGCGUGGGUAACCUGCCUCAUACAGGGGGAUAACAGUUGGAAACGGCUGCUAAUACCGCAUAAGCGCACAGUACCGCAUGGUACCGUGUGAAAAACUCCGGUGGUAUGAGAUGGACCCGCGUCUGAUUAGCUAGUUGGUGGGGUAACGGCCUACCAAGGCGACGAUCAGUAGCCGACCUGAGAGGGUGACCGGCCACAUUGGGACUGAGACGCGGUCCAA